AGGACGAACGCUGGCGGCGUGCUUAACACAUGCAAGUCGAGCGAGGCCCUUCCUUCGGGAAGGUGCCCUAGCGGCGAACGGGUGAGUAACACGUGGGCAACCUGCCCCUAGCACUGGGAUAACUCCGGGAAACCGGGGCUAAUACCGGAUAUGACCUUUGAGGGCAUCCUUGGAGGUGUAAAGGAUUCUGGCUAGGGAUGGGCCCGCGGCCUAUCAGCUUGUUGGUGGGGUAAUGGCCUACCAAGGCGACGACGGGUAGCCGGCCUGAGAGGGCGACCGGCCACACUGGGACUGAGACACGGCCCAGACUCCUACGGGAGGCAGCAGUGGGGAAUAUUGCACAAUGGGCGAAAGCCUGAUGCAGCGACGCCGCGUGAGGGAUGACGGCCUUGGUUGUAAACCUCUUUCAGCAGGGACGAAGCGAAAGUGACGGUACCGUGCAGAAGAAGCACCGGCCAACUACGCGCCAGCAGCCGC
RNAcentral lists this ribosomal RNA (477 nucleotides) under uncultured bacterium. Its description in RNAcentral is "SSU rRNA". It matches the Rfam family "Bacterial small subunit ribosomal RNA", at positions 26 to 518 of the family's 1533-position model. The record is from RNAcentral.